UCUUUUCGCGCCUUAAGACAGGCAGGCUCUGACGAUGAACAGCAAUUGAAAACGACCCAUUUCACCCUUUUUCCAGUCCACGUGAACUGCUAGAUCUUGGCUUUGCAACAUUAGCCAGGGGCGCUACAUAAACUGCUUAGUUUCUCAAAGGCUCAAGCCUGCCCUGAUCUGUCUACAGGCUGGGUAGAGAUGGUCACAGACAUUUAGGCACUUUGAUCCUAAGAAGAAUGGAAAGAAACCAUGUGGGCGCGGCAGUCUUACAGGAAUUUCAAGAGGGAGGGACCUGAGCAACAAUCGGAGGGGUUAUUACUCCUGAGGAUGCAUCUGGCUGGAGAAAGCAGCCUUUGAGAACUGCCUAAGAAGUAUCUACAUCUACAUCAGAUGUAGCCUCAGAGGAAGGAGUCAGUCACAGAAUGGAUAAAACAACCGCGUGUUAAAGCUUUGGUUAUAAUUGGUGUGGAGAAUGGAGAACACAGUUGAUCAGCGGCUGACAAAGUGGGGAACCAACACUAAAACAGGGCUCUCUCACCCUGGAAAAGCCAAAGGCAGAACAAGCCUUUACAUCCAGGAAGAAACACAAAAUGAUCCUCUGACAAGUGAUGAAGAAGACUGGGAAGAUGUGAAAAUCCAAGCAAGAAGAACUUAUGGGAAGCAACUCAACAUCUAAGAAGAAAUGAAUAGGGAUCAG
RNAcentral lists this long non-coding RNA (688 nucleotides) under Pan troglodytes (chimpanzee). Its description in RNAcentral is "long non-coding RNA NONPTRT008199". Lineage: Eukaryota; Metazoa; Chordata; Mammalia; Primates; Hominidae. The record is from RNAcentral.